GCGCAAGCCUGAUGCAGCGACGCCGCGUGAGGGAUGGAGGCCUUCGGGUUGUAAACCUCUUUCGCCAGUGAAGCAGGCCUGCUCCUUGUGGGUGGGUUGACGGUAGCUGGAUAAGAAGCGCCGGCUAACUACGUGCCAGCAGCCGCGGUAAUACGUAGGGCGCGAGCGUUGUCCGGAAUUAUUGGGCGUAAAGAGCUCGUAGGCGGCUGGUCGCGUCUGUCGUGAAAUCCUCUGGCUUAACUGGGGGCUUGCGGUGGGUACGGGCCGGCUUGAGUGCGGUAGGGGAGACUGGAACUCCUGGUGUAGCGGUGGAAUGCGCAGAUAUCAGGAAGAACACCGGUGGCGAAGGCGGGUCUCUGGGCCGUUACUGACGCUGAGGAGCGAAAGCGUGGGGAGCGAACAGGAUUAGAUACCCUGGUAGUCCGCGCCGUAAACGUUGGGCACUAGGUGUGGGGGGCCUUUUCCGGGUCUUCCGCGCCGUAGCUAACGCAUUAAGUGCCCCGCCUGGGGAGUACGGCCGCAAGGCUAAAACUCAAAGGAAUUGACGGGGGCCCGCACAAGCGGCGGAGCAUGCGGAUUGGUUCGAUGCAACGCGAAGAACCU
RNAcentral lists this ribosomal RNA (603 nucleotides) under Actinomyces sp. oral taxon 169. RNAcentral's name for it is "bacterial SSU rRNA". It matches the Rfam family "Bacterial small subunit ribosomal RNA", at positions 375 to 971 of the family's 1533-position model. The record is from RNAcentral. Lineage: Bacteria; Bacillati; Actinomycetota; Actinomycetes; Actinomycetales; Actinomycetaceae.